RNAcentral lists this ribosomal RNA (497 nucleotides) under uncultured bacterium. RNAcentral's name for it is "partial 16S ribosomal RNA". It matches the Rfam family "Bacterial small subunit ribosomal RNA", at positions 28 to 507 of the family's 1533-position model. The record is from RNAcentral.
GAUGAACGCUGGCGGCGUGCCUAAUACAUGCAAGUCGAGCGAACAGACGAGGAGCUUGCUCCUCUGACGUUAGCGGCGGACGGGUGAGUAACACGUGGAUAACCUACCUAUAAGACUGGGAUAACUUCGGGAAACCGGAGCUAAUACCGGAUAAUAUAUUGAACCGCAUGGUUCAAUAGUGAAAGACGGUUUUGCUGUCACUUAUAGAUGGAUCCGCGCCGCAUUAGCUAGUUGGUAAGGUAACGGCUUACCAAGGCAACGAUGCGUAGCCGACCUGAGAGGGUGAUCGGCCACACUGGAAGGGAGACACGGUCAAGAGGACUGAGGGAGGGAGCAGUAGGGAAUCUGACGCAAUGGGCGAAAGCAUGACGGAGCAACGCCGAGUGAGUGAUGAAGGUCUUCGGAUCGUAAAACUCUGUUAUGAGGGAAGAACAAAUGUGUAAGGAAAUAUGCACGUAUUGACGGUAACUAAUCAGAAAGCAACGGCUAACUACGUG